This is a long non-coding RNA of Bolinopsis microptera, 637 nucleotides long. RefSeq lists it as uncharacterized. Lineage: Eukaryota; Metazoa; Ctenophora; Tentaculata; Lobata; Bolinopsidae. The record is from RefSeq and is a predicted model, not a curated record. The transcript is spliced from 3 exons.
CAGAUAAAACGGAUUUUAAUUUAUAUUUCAUUAGUAAAACAAAGUAAUAGUCUGUCGAAAGACUGUUACUCAUUGCAAUAAAGUUGUAAUUCUACUAACGUGUACAAAUGGCUCUGUUCCGUAAUUUUAUUAUCUUCAGCUGUAUGUGUGCAGCUGGUUAUGAAAAGUUGAGAACCGUUUGGUGUUGAUUUAAUUUACGGGAUCAACUCUAUUUUAGGAUUCAAAUUCAUUCAUGCCCUUGUUAACUACAUUUAAUAAAGAUCAAUGUGGCAAGAAAACUUAAGUGCUUUUAAUUUAUUGUAAAACCAAUAAAUCUUCAAUUAGAAUGAACACACGACCGGCACUUCACACGGUGAAAGACAACCUUGGCAUUCAUCAGCAGAUAACAUGCAUCAGCAGAUAACCCUUACUCUUCAGAUUAUUUGAUAAUCAUGAGAAAUGGAAGAUGUUCUUCCCAGUGACCUUCAUCAUGUCCAUCCUGUGGAUCGCAGUAUUCUCCUACCUCAUGGUUUGGUGGACUGAGACACUCGGCCGAACUCUUGGCUUGGGAGAGAAACCAGAGGUUUAUACAACCCCCGGAAGUACAGACAACAAAGCAGACAUAAUCUGGAAUAUCGAUAACCUCUAAAGCUCUAAG